RNAcentral lists this ribosomal RNA (460 nucleotides) under uncultured bacterium. Its description in RNAcentral is "partial 16S ribosomal RNA". It matches the Rfam family "Bacterial small subunit ribosomal RNA", at positions 338 to 795 of the family's 1533-position model. The record is from RNAcentral.
CCUACGGGAGGCUGCAGUGAGGAAUAUUGGUCAAUGGGCGGGAGCCUGAACCAGCCAAGUCGCGUGAGGGAAGACGGUCCUAUGGAUUGUAAACCUCUUUAGGCGGGGAGCAAUGCCGCGCACGCGUGCCCGGAGGGAGAGUACCCGCAUAAUAAGCAUCGGCUAACUCCGUGCCAGCAGCCGCGGUAAUACGGAGGAUGCGAGCGUUAUCCGGAUUUAUGGGGUUUAAAGGGUGCGUAGGCGGAUUUUUAAGUCAGCGGUAAAAUGUCCGGGCUCAACCCGGGCCGGCCGUUGAAACUGGGGAUCUUGAGUGGGCGAGAAGUAUGCGGAAUGCGUGGUGUAGCGGUGAAUUGCAUAGAUAUCACGUAGAACUCCGAUUGCGAAGGCAGCAUACCGGCGCCCGACUGACGCUGAGGCACGAAAGCGUGGGGAUCGAACAGGAUUAGAUACCCUUGUAGUC